UUGCUGGGAUGCACCUUUGGAAUGUGUGAGCCAAGAAUGGGCGCGCAUGCUCAUGGAACCCGCAAGGAAGGCGCACCGGGGAGGAAAGGGAGGGGGCAGAGAUCACCCUAGGAAUGUGCACAGGGGGCAGCUGCCGGUGGAGGGUGUUUGGUAUGAGGGAGACAGGCUCAUGGGGAAAUGCAGCUGGCCCUCCCGCACUGGGGCCCCAGCGCUGACAGGGGACGGCGUAGGACGGGGAUCCCUUGGGCUAGGAGGGCGAGAACUGCUGCGCCAUCAGGUGGCAGCUUUGGGGCUGCUAGGAAAAAUGGCUGCCAGGGGUCCUGUAAAGCAAAGCUUGCUUGGAGAAUGGGCGAAGAUGUAUGUGUGGAGGAGCUGAGACACUCAAAGGAUUAACCCCCUGGCCCAGGUCACCGACUUGUCGUGGAGUUCAUUGGAAUGUGAUGGGAAGGAGGAGAAGAAGGAGAAGGUGAUGGAGAGUCUCCUGGAGGCAGCUGAAUUUUUGGCAUGGCCGAGAAGACCUGGGGUGGACCCUUGACCCGCAUUGGGCCCACUCUUGCUUCUCUCCCGGGAACUAAGACUUAGGAUUUAUGAAUGCUGGUCUGUCUGUGCAGGAAUGGUGUGUGAGGGGAGGGAGGCAGCAUGGUGAUUUGUGAAGGGCUGAACUCAGACAGACCUAGGUUUAAGUUCUGGUCAUCUCACUUGCUGUGUGACCUUGGACAAGUCACUUCACUUCUCUGAGCCUCUCUCCAACAACGGGGCUAAUAAUCCCUGCCUUAUAAAGUUGUGGUGAUGAUUAAAAAGUGGCUGGGAAUGGUAGCUCUUGGAAAUAGUAGACAGUCAAUAAAUGU
This 848-nucleotide long non-coding RNA is filed under the name Homo sapiens (human). RNAcentral describes it as "long non-coding RNA NONHSAT162713.1". The record is from RNAcentral. Lineage: Eukaryota; Metazoa; Chordata; Mammalia; Primates; Hominidae.